This 252-nucleotide ribosomal RNA is filed under the name uncultured bacterium. RNAcentral's name for it is "partial 16S ribosomal RNA". It matches the Rfam family "Bacterial small subunit ribosomal RNA", at positions 524 to 776 of the family's 1533-position model. The record is from RNAcentral.
UACGUGGGUCCCGAGCGUUGUCCGGAUUUAUUGGGCGUAAAGCGAGCGCAGGUGGUUUAUUAAGUCUGGUGUAAAAGGCAGUGGCUCAACCAUUGUAUGCAUUGGAAACUGGUAGACUUGAGUGCAGGAGAGGAGAGUGGAAUUCCAUGUGUAGCGGUGAAAUGCGUAGAUAUAUGGAGGAACACCGGUGGCGAAAGCGGCUCUCUGGCCUGUAACUGACACUGAGGCACGAAAGCGUGGGGAGCAAACAGG